This 216-nucleotide ribosomal RNA is filed under the name Aeromonas caviae. Its description in RNAcentral is "partial 16S ribosomal RNA". It matches the Rfam family "Bacterial small subunit ribosomal RNA", at positions 1318 to 1533 of the family's 1533-position model. The record is from RNAcentral. Lineage: Bacteria; Pseudomonadati; Pseudomonadota; Gammaproteobacteria; Aeromonadales; Aeromonadaceae.
CCAUGAAGUCGGAAUCGCUAGUAAUCGCAAAUCAGAAUGUUGCGGUGAAUACGUUCCCGGGCCUUGUACACACCGCCCGUCACACCAUGGGAGUGGGUUGCACCAGAAGUAGAUAGCUUAACCUUCGGGAGGGCGUUUACCACGGUGUGAUUCAUGACUGGGGUGAAGUCGUAACAAGGUAACCCUAGGGGAACCUGGGGUUGGAUCACCUCCUUA